Molecule: long non-coding RNA, 801 nt
Filed under: Sus scrofa (pig)
Lineage: Eukaryota; Metazoa; Chordata; Mammalia; Artiodactyla; Suidae
Description: lncRNA (ENSSSCG00025076990.1)
Source: RNAcentral
GGAAUGUUUGGGAAAUCCUGGGUUACCUAGAUUUCCUUCCGAAGAGAGUGCUUUGUAGAACAUGAACACAUGCUGUGGGUCUCUGAGAGGGGGCUACAGAAUACACCCCUUCCCUCCAUUUUGUGACCACAGAAUCUUUUUUUCCUCCUCUAAGUAUCCCAAGAGACUGUGGAUUCGUGCAGCUGAGAAACACUGAGCUAAAGUAUUCAUCAGAGAAAAGCACUACGUGUGGAAUCAUUUUCACCUUCGAGCCAGGCUUCUGGCUUCAGACUGGAUCCUCUCAGCCUUUUGUCAUGUGGGUGGGUGGCCCCAUUCCCCAUUUGAAGGUAGAACUGGAUGGAACAGAGAAUGGCCAACAGUCCACUCCAGAAGCUCAACACGGGGCACUGGGCCUUUGGGAAGAUAUUUAUUGAGCACCUAUUGGGUGCCAUCAGUUUGCUCAGGAGCUUUGUAGAAGGAGCCCUGUAAGAGAUGCGUAUUCCAGGCGCACAGUCAGAAGCCAGCCAGACAAGCCCAGAAAGGAGUACCACAUUGAUUCAUGACCAGACCUGCCGAUUUCCCACUCAUCCUAAUCAUUCUUCUAAGGAGGGGCUCCAGGCUGCUGGAGAAGCCAGUACCUUGCGCGUUGCAGUUGCCAGAAAGAGGGAAGAAGUCAGUGGCCAAGUAUGCCAGCUCUUAUCACCUACCCAUCUGCUCACAUUUUAUUGGCUAAAGCAAGUCAUGAAGGUAUCUUCACUUCUCGUGAGCAGCAGAGGGCAGGCGGCAGCAUGCAGCCUGCAGAGAGAGCUGGGCUAUUUGUGA